Molecule: small nuclear RNA, 19 nt
Filed under: Arabidopsis thaliana (thale cress)
Lineage: Eukaryota; Viridiplantae; Streptophyta; Magnoliopsida; Brassicales; Brassicaceae
Description: snRNA_11575
Source: RNAcentral
UGAAGCUAACGGCGGGGUA